UUUUUUUURRAUAAAAAACCAACGCCCUUUSUGGCUCCUUGGKGAAUCAUAAUAACUUAACGAAUCGCAUGGCCUUGCGCCGGCUAUGGUUCAUUCAAAUUUCUGCCCUAUCAACUUUCGAUAACUGGAUAGUGGCCUACCAUGGUGGCAACGGGUAACGGGGAAUUAGGGUUCGAUUCCGGAGAGGGAGCCUGAGAAACGGCUACCACAUCCAAGGAAGGCAGCAGGCGCGCAAAUUACCCAAUCCCGAUACGGGGAGGUAGUGACAAUGAAUACUGAUACGGGGCUCUUUUGGGUCUUCAAUUGGAAUGAGAACAAUUUAAAUCCCUUAACGAGGAACAAUUGGAGGGCAAGUCUGGUGCCAGCAGCCGCCRKAAUUCCAGCUCCUUUAGCGUAUAUUAAAGUUGUUGCAAUUAAAAAGCUCGWARAUGAACCUUGGGUCUGGUUGGSCKGKCCSCCUCACCSCGAGKACUGGUCCGGCUGGACCUUUCCUGCUGGGGAACCUCAUGGCCUUCACUGGCUGUCRSUGGGAACCAGGACUUUUACUGUGAAAAACUAKAGUGWUCAWAGCRUGCC
This 576-nucleotide ribosomal RNA is filed under the name uncultured eukaryote. Its description in RNAcentral is "partial 18S ribosomal RNA". It matches the Rfam family "Eukaryotic small subunit ribosomal RNA", at positions 205 to 797 of the family's 1831-position model. The record is from RNAcentral.